CAGGCGGAUUGGUAAGUCAGGGGUGAAAUCCCACAGCUCAACUGUGGAACUGCCUUUGAUACUGUCAGUCUAGAGUAUAGUUGAAGUUGGCGGAAUGUGUCAUGUAGCGGUGAAAUGCUUAGAUAUGACACAGAACACCGAUCGCGAAGGCAGCUAGCUAAGCUAUAACUGACGCUCAUGCACGAAAGCGUGGGGAUCAAACAGGAUUAGAUACCCUGGUAGUCCACGCUGUAAACGAUGAUUACUCGAUGUUGGCGAUACACAGUCAGCGUCUGAGCGAAAGCAAUAAGUAAUCCACCUGGGGAGUACGAUCGCAAGAUUGAAACUCAAAGGAAUUGACGGGGGCCCGCACAAGCGGAGGAGCAUGUGGUUUAAUUCGAUGAUACGCGAGGAACCUUACCUGGGCUCGAACGUAAGAUGACUGUAGGUGAAAGCUUACAUCUCUUCGGAGCAUUUUACGAGGUGCUGCAUGGUUGUCGUCAGCUCGUGCCGUGAGGUGUCGGGUUAAGUCCCAUAACGAGCGCAACCCCUACCUUUAGUUGCUAUCAGGUCAUGCUGGGGACUCUAAAGGAACUGCCUACGCAAGUAGUGAGGAAGGCGGGGAUGACGUCAAAUCAGCACGGCCCUUACGUCCAGGGCUACACACGUGCUACAAUGGCCGAUACAGAGGGCAGCUACCUGGUGACAGGAUGCAAAUCUCCAAAGUCGGUCUCAGUUCGGGUCGGAGUCUGCAACCCGACUCCGUGAAGUUGGAUUCGCUAGUAAUCGCGCAUCAGCCAUGGCGCGGUGAAUACGUUCCCGGGCCUUGUACACACCGCCCGUCAAGCCAUGGAAGCUGGGGGGACCUAAAGUCGAUAACCGCAAGGAGUCGCCUAGGGUAAAACCAGUGACUGGGGCUAAGUCGUAACAAGGUAGCCG
RNAcentral lists this ribosomal RNA (918 nucleotides) under uncultured Lentimicrobium sp. RNAcentral's name for it is "bacterial SSU rRNA". It matches the Rfam family "Bacterial small subunit ribosomal RNA", at positions 572 to 1502 of the family's 1533-position model. The record is from RNAcentral. Lineage: Bacteria; Pseudomonadati; Bacteroidota; Bacteroidia; Bacteroidales; Lentimicrobiaceae.